GGAGGCAUAGCUCAGCUGGGAGAGCACUUGCUUCACACGCAAGGGGUCACUGGUUCGAGUCCAGCUGUCUCCACCA
This 76-nucleotide transfer RNA is filed under the name Clostridiales bacterium. Its description in RNAcentral is "tRNA-Val". It matches the Rfam family "tRNA". From Rfam's summary of the family: Transfer RNA (tRNA) molecules are approximately 80 nucleotides in length. Their secondary structure includes four short double-helical elements and three loops (D, anti-codon, and T loops). Further hydrogen bonds mediate the characteristic L-shaped molecular structure. tRNAs have two regions of fundamental functional importance: the anti-codon, which is responsible for specific mRNA codon recognition, and the 3' end, to which the tRNAs corresponding amino acid is attached (by aminoacyl-tRNA synthetases). tRNAs cope with the degeneracy of the genetic code in two manners: having more than one tRNA (with a specific anti-codon) for a particular amino acid; and 'wobble' base-pairing, i.e. permitting non-standard base-pairing at the 3rd anti-codon position. RNAcentral also lists the same sequence under 1 other name. Lineage: Bacteria; Bacillati; Bacillota; Clostridia; Eubacteriales. The record is from RNAcentral.